UACGUAGGGUGCAGGCGUUAAUCGGAAUUACUGGGCGUAAAGCGUGCGCAGGCGGUUUCUUAAGUCAGAUGUGUAAGCCCCGGGCUUAACCUGGGAACUGCGUUUGAAACUUGGAGACUUGAGUGUGGCAGAGGGGGGUGGAAUUCCACGUGUAGCAGUGAAAUGCGUAGAUAUGUGGAGGAACACCGAUGGCGAAGGCAGCCCCAUGGGUUAACACUGACGCUCAUGCACGAAAGCGUGGGGAGCAAACAGG
RNAcentral lists this ribosomal RNA (253 nucleotides) under uncultured bacterium. Its description in RNAcentral is "partial 16S ribosomal RNA". It matches the Rfam family "Bacterial small subunit ribosomal RNA", at positions 524 to 776 of the family's 1533-position model. The record is from RNAcentral.